RNAcentral lists this ribosomal RNA (497 nucleotides) under uncultured bacterium. RNAcentral's name for it is "partial 16S ribosomal RNA". It matches the Rfam family "Bacterial small subunit ribosomal RNA", at positions 28 to 507 of the family's 1533-position model. The record is from RNAcentral.
GAUGAACGCUGGCGGCGUGCCUAAUACAUGCAAGUCGAGCGAACAGACGCGGCGUUUGCUCCUCAGACGUUAGCGGCGGACGGAUGAGUAACACGUGGAUAACCUACCUAUAGGACGGGGAUAACUUCGGGAAACGGGAGCUAAUACCGGAUCAUAUAUUGAACCGCAUGGUUCCAUAGUGAAAGACGGUUUUGCUGUCACUUAUAGAUGGAUCCGCGCCGCAUUAGCUAGUUGGUCAGGUAAAGGCUUACCAAGGCACCGAUGUGUAGCCGACCUGAGAGGGUGAUCGGCCACACUGGAACUGAGACACGGUCCAGACGCCUACGGGAGGCAGCAGUAGGGAAUCUUCCGCAAUGGGCGAAAGCUUGACGGAGCAACGCCGCGUGAGUGAUGAAGGUCUUCGGAUCGUAAAACUCUGUUAUUAGGGAAGAACAAAUGUGUAAGUAACUAUGCACGUCUUGACGGUACCUAAUCAGAAAGCCACGGCUAACUACGUG